Molecule: transfer RNA, 87 nt
Filed under: Pseudomonadota bacterium
Lineage: Bacteria; Pseudomonadati; Pseudomonadota
Also listed under: 2 other names
Description: tRNA-Leu
Rfam family: tRNA
About the family: Transfer RNA (tRNA) molecules are approximately 80 nucleotides in length. Their secondary structure includes four short double-helical elements and three loops (D, anti-codon, and T loops). Further hydrogen bonds mediate the characteristic L-shaped molecular structure. tRNAs have two regions of fundamental functional importance: the anti-codon, which is responsible for specific mRNA codon recognition, and the 3' end, to which the tRNAs corresponding amino acid is attached (by aminoacyl-tRNA synthetases). tRNAs cope with the degeneracy of the genetic code in two manners: having more than one tRNA (with a specific anti-codon) for a particular amino acid; and 'wobble' base-pairing, i.e. permitting non-standard base-pairing at the 3rd anti-codon position.
Source: RNAcentral
GCGGGCGUGGCGGAACCGGUUGACGCGUCAGCUUUAGGAGCUGAUGGGCGCAAGCCCGUGGGGGUUCGAGUCCCUCCGCCCGCACCA